CAGGUCACGAAUAAGGAUCUUUCUAUGAUAACACAUUGAGUCAAGACAAGGCAGUUGAGACACAAUGGAGUCAGGAAUAUGUAAGAUUUCAAGAAAAACUGCUUCAACCGAGGAUCAGAGGAGUCUAAAGUUGCUGCUUUAUCAGUGUACUUUCAGUGCUGAUAGACAUAGUGUCUUCAGUCACAGUAGAGGGUUUUAUUGGUGAUUCAGUUGUCCUGCCGUGUUAUUCAACUAAACAUUAUAUUAAACCUCAAGACGUUGAAGUGUUUUGGAGACACAAUGACAGCAUGAUUGUGUUUGAUAUAAUCAAGGGUAAAAAUUCAGACACACGUGAUCCACGGUACAAGAACAGAGUUGAACGUUUAACAAAUCUGAGCCCAAACUACUCUCUCAAACUCUCCGAUCUCAAUCAUGCUGAUGCGGGGAAGUACAUCUGCUACAUCACACCUUCAGAUGAAUGGAGGACUGUAGAGCUGAUCAUCAAUGAAACAGGAAACAAAUCCAGCGAUCAAGAAAACCAGGGAGAAGUUCCAGUAUCAGACAGUGUGAAGAAAUCAGGGACAAUGCUGUGGGUUUACAUUGUAGUACCUUGCAUUGUAGUAUUAGCUAUAGUAUAGUUUAAUAUUAUUUUGUUCGAGAAAAAGAACUCAAGCUGUCUCUUUCUCUUCUGUUUUAAAUAAAGAACAAACAAAGCACCAUGAAUGAAAGUUAGGACUAAAGGCUUACCUUUGGCUGAAUUAUUAAACUUUUCAUUGGUUCUCUUUGGUGCAAUUGUGUGCUGUAUUUCGUCACAUGAAUUAUAAUACCACAGUAUGAAGCGAUUGACGAGUUUGACGAAUUUAACGGUAAAAGUGUAAAAAUGCCACAGUAAAAAGCUGUUAAACGGUUAAUGGCAAGUCCCCCUAGUGAAAAACUGUAAUAGAUAUUUCAGACAAUUUUAUUGACAAUUUUAAAACCCAGUUUUUGGAAGUGAAAAACUAUGUAAUGUUUGUAUGUAAUUAAAAAUAAAACGUAAAUUGACA
Long non-coding RNA from Puntigrus tetrazona (Sumatra barb), 1022 nucleotides. RefSeq lists it as uncharacterized. The transcript has 4 exons. The record is from RefSeq and is a predicted model, not a curated record. Lineage: Eukaryota; Metazoa; Chordata; Actinopteri; Cypriniformes; Cyprinidae.